Molecule: ribosomal RNA, 406 nt
Filed under: uncultured bacterium
Lineage: Bacteria
Description: partial 16S ribosomal RNA
Rfam family: Bacterial small subunit ribosomal RNA
Source: RNAcentral
AUUGAACGCUGGCGGCAGGCCUAACACAUGCAAGUCGAACGAGUGGCGGACGGGUGAGUAAUGUCUGGGAAACUGCCUGAUGGAGGGGGAUAACUACUGGAAACGGUAGCUAAUACCGCAUACCAUCGGAUGUGCCCAGAUGGGAGUAGCUAGUAGGUGGGGUAACGGCUCACAUAGGCGAGGAUCCCUAGCUGGUCUGCGAGGAUGACCAGCCACACUGGAACUGAGACACGGUCCAGACUCCUACGGGAGGCAGCAGUGGGGAAUAUUGCACAAUGGGCGCAGGCCUGAUGCAGCCAUGCCGCGUGUAUGAAGAAGGCCUUCGGGUUGUAAAGUACUUUCAGCGGGGAGGCGUUACCCGCAGAAGAAGCACCGGCUAACUCCGUGCCAGCAGCCGCGGUAAUUC